Oncorhynchus keta (chum salmon) is the source of this 2286-nucleotide long non-coding RNA. RefSeq lists it as uncharacterized. The transcript is spliced from 3 exons. Lineage: Eukaryota; Metazoa; Chordata; Actinopteri; Salmoniformes; Salmonidae. The record is from RefSeq and is a predicted model, not a curated record.
UAUGGGGUAUUGUGAUGUCGUUAUAUAGGGUAUUGUGAUGUCAUUAUGGGGUAUUGUGAUGUCAUUAUGGGGUAUUGUGAUGUCAUUAUGGGGUCUUGUGAUGUCAUUAUGGGGUAUUGUGAUGUCAUUAUGGGGUCUUGUGAUGUCAUUAUGGGGUAUUGUGAUGUCGUUAUAGGGUAUUGUGAUGUCAUUAUGGGGUAUUGUGAUGUCGUUAUAGGGUAUUGUGAUGUCAUUAUGGGUUAUUGUGAUGUCGUUAUAUAGGGUAUUGUGAUGUCAUUAUGGGGUAUUGUGAUGUCAUUAUGGGGUAUUGUGAUGUCAUUAUGGGGUAUUGUGAUGUCGUUAUAGGGUAUUGUGAUGUCAUUAUGGGGUAUUGUGACGUCGUUAUAUAGGGUAUUGUGAUAUCAUUAUAGGGUAUUGUGAUGUCGUUAUAUAGGGUAUUGUGAUGUCAUUAUGGGGUAUUGUGAUGUCGUUAUAGGGUAUUGUGAUGUCAUUAUAGGGUAUUGUGAUGUCGUUAUAUAGGGUAUUGUGAUGUCAUCAUGGGGUAUUGUGAUGUCGUUAUGUGGUAUUGUGAUGUCAUUAUGGGGUCUUGUGAUGUCGUUAUGGGGUAUUGUGAUGUCAUUAUGGGGUAUUGUGAUGUCAUUAUGGGGUCUUGUGAUGUCAUUAUGGGGUAUUGUGAUGUCAUUAUGGGGUAUUGUGAUGUCGUUAUAUAGGGUAUUGUGAUGUCAUUAUGGGGUAUUGUGAUGUCGUUAUAGGGUAUUGUGAUGUCAUUAUGGGGUAUUGUGAUGUCGUUAUAUAGGGUAUUGUGAUGUCAUUAUGGGGUAUUGUGAUGUCAUUAUGGGGUAUUGUGAUGUCGUUAUAUAGGGUAUUGUGAUGUCAUUAUGGGGUAUUGUGAUGUUGUUAUAGGGUAUUGUGAUGUCAUUAUGGGGUAUUGUGAUGUCGUUAUAUAGGGUAUUGUGAUGUCAUUAUGGGGUAUUGUGAUGUCGUUAUAUAGGGUAUUGUGAUGUCAUUAUGGGGUAUUGUGAUGUCGUUAUAGGGUAUUGUGAUGUCAUUAUGGGGUAUUGUGAUGUCGUUAUAUAGGGUCUUGUGAUGUCAUUAUGGGGUAUUGUGAUGUCAUUAUGGGGUAUUGUGAUGUCGUUAUAGGGUAUUGUGAUGUCAUUAUGGGGUAUUGUGAUGUCGUUAUAUAGGGUCUUGUGAUGUCAUUAUGGGGUAUUGUGAUGUCAUUAUGGGGUAUUGUGAUGUCGUUAUAGGGUAUUGUGAUGUCAUUAUGGGGUAUUGUGAUGUCGUUAUAUAGGGUAUUGUGAUGUCGUUAUAUAGGGUAUUGUGAUGUCAUUAUAGGGUAUUGUGAUGUCGUUAUAUAGGGUAUUGUGAUGUCAUUAUGGGGUCUUGUGAUGUCGUUAUGUGGUCUUGUGAUGUCAUUAUGGGGUAUUGUGAUGUCAUUAUGGGGUAUUGUGAUGUCGUUAUAGGGUAUUGUGAUGUCAUUAUGGGGUAUUGUGAUGUCGUUAUAUAGGGUAUUGUGAUGUCGUUAUAUAGGGUAUUGUGAUGUCAUUAUAGGGUAUUGUGAUGUCGUUAUAUAGGGUAUUGUGAUGUCAUUAUGGGGUCUUGUGAUGUCGUUAUGUGGUCUUGUGAUGUCAUUAUGGGGUAUUGUGAUGUCAUUAUGGGGUAUUGUGAUGUCGUUAUAGGGUAUUGUGAUGUCAUUAUGGGGUAUUGUGAUGUCGUUAUAUAGGGUCUUGUGAUGUCAUUAUGGGGUAUUGUGAUGUCAUUAUGGGGUAUUGUGAUGUCGUUAUAGGGUAUUGUGAUGUCAUUAUGGGGUAUUGUGAUGUCGUUAUAUAGGGUAUUGUGAUGUCGUUAUAUAGGGUAUUGUGAUGUCAUUAUAGGGUAUUGUGAUGUCGUUAUAUAGGGUAUUGUGAUGUCAUUAUGGGGUCUUGUGAUGUCGUUAUGUGUUCUUGUGAUGUCAUUAUGGGGUCUUGUGAUGUCAUUAUGGGGUAUUGUGAUGUCGUUAUAGGGUAUUGUGAUGUCAUUAUGGGGUAUUGUGAUGUCGUUAUAUAGGGUAUUGUGAUGUCAUUAUGGGGUAUUGUGAUGUCGUUAUAGGGUAUUGUGAUGUCAUUAUGGGGUAUUGUGAUGUCGUUAUGGGGUAUUGUGAUGUCGUUAUGGGGUAUUGUGAUGUCGUUAUGGGGUAUUGUGAUGUCGUUAUGGGGUAUUGUGAUGUCGUUAUGGGGUAUUGUGAUGUCGUUAUGGGGUAUUGUGAUGUCGUUAUAGGGUAUUGUGAUGUCGUUAUAGGGUAUUGUG